Molecule: ribosomal RNA, 364 nt
Filed under: Cedecea sp. 203R
Lineage: Bacteria; Pseudomonadati; Pseudomonadota; Gammaproteobacteria; Enterobacterales; Enterobacteriaceae
Description: bacterial SSU rRNA
Rfam family: Bacterial small subunit ribosomal RNA
Source: RNAcentral
GAUUGGUGCCUUCGGGAACUCUGAGACAGGUGCUGCAUGGCUGUCGUCAGCUCGUGUUGUGAAAUGUUGGGUUAAGUCCCGCAACGAGCGCAACCCUUAUCCUUUGUUGCCAGCGGUUCGGCCGGGAACUCAAAGGAGACUGCCAGUGAUAAACUGGAGGAAGGUGGGGAUGACGUCAAGUCAUCAUGGCCCUUACGAGUAGGGCUACACACGUGCUACAAUGGCGCAUACAAAGAGAAGCGACCUCGCGAGAGCAAGCGGACCUCAUAAAGUGCGUCGUAGUCCGGAUUGGAGUCUGCAACUCGACUCCAUGAAGUCGGAAUCGCUAGUAAUCGUAGAUCAGAAUGCUACGGUGAAUACGUUC